GCGUCACUUGUGGUGUAGGCGA
Molecule: microRNA, 22 nt
Filed under: Schistosoma japonicum
Lineage: Eukaryota; Metazoa; Platyhelminthes; Trematoda; Strigeidida; Schistosomatidae
Description: sja-miR-3485-5p
Source: miRBase by way of RNAcentral